GUGUUGUAUGAAAGGAGAGAAGGUUAGCACUUCCCUUGCCUAGGAUGGAAGAGGCCCUCAGGGUGGACAACGUGCAUACAGUUAAGGCACUGCCACCUACUUUGUGGCAUCUAACCGUCUAUCGUU
This 126-nucleotide non-coding RNA is filed under the name Propithecus coquereli (Coquerel's sifaka). The record is from RNAcentral. Lineage: Eukaryota; Metazoa; Chordata; Mammalia; Primates; Indriidae.